Molecule: ribosomal RNA, 709 nt
Filed under: uncultured bacterium
Lineage: Bacteria
Description: bacterial SSU rRNA
Rfam family: Bacterial small subunit ribosomal RNA
Source: RNAcentral
UGCCUUUCAGAGGGGGAUAACGGCUGGAAACGGUCGCUAAUACCGCAUGAUGUGUUCGGAUGGCAUCAUCUGAACAUCAAAGAUUUAUCGCUGAAAGAUGGGCUCGCGUCUGAUUAGAUAGUUGGUGGGGUAACGGCCUACCAAGUCUACGAUCAGUAGCCGGACUGGGAGGUUGAACGGCCACAUUGGGACUGAGAUACGGCCCAGACUCCUACGGGAGGCAGCAGUGGGGAAUAUUGCACAAUGGGGGAAACCCUGAUGCAGCAACGCCGCGUGAAGGAUGACGGUUUUCGGAUUGUAAACUUCUUUUCUUAGUGACGAAGACAGUGACGGUAGCUAAGGAAUAAGCAUCGGCUAACUACGUGCCAGCAGCCGCGGUAAUACGUAGGAUGCAAGCGUUAUCCGGAUUUACUGGGUGUAAAGGGAGCGCAGGCGGGACUGCAAGUUGGAUGUGAAAUACCGUGGCUUAACCACGGAACUGCAUCCAAAACUGUAGUUCUUGAGUGAAGUAGAGGCAAGCGGAAUUCCGAGUGUAGCGGUGAAAUGCGUAGAUAUUCGGAGGAACACCAGUGGCGAAGGCGGCUUGCUGGGCUUUAACUGACGCUGAGGCUCGAAAGUGUGGGGAGCAAACAGGAUUAGAUACCCUGGUAGUCCACACUGUAAACGAUGAUAGCUAGGUGUGGGGGGUCUGACCCCUUCCGUGCCGGAG